Molecule: long non-coding RNA, 1130 nt
Organism: Drosophila rhopaloa
Lineage: Eukaryota; Metazoa; Arthropoda; Insecta; Diptera; Drosophilidae
Exons: 2
Source: RefSeq, a predicted model, not a curated record
UUUUUGUAGCGCUUGCUCGGAAAAAAAGAUACUUUUCUAGCGCCAUCUGUUGGAUGUUGGAGAGAAGGUAUUGCGUUGCCACUAGAGUUGAUAAGAGACUAGUAGAUAUCGGUAGGAUAGCCGCGAGAGAGCAACAGUGGCAAGUGUCAACUGUCUCCGCUUUCACCCUGAAUUCGAUCUGGGGUUACCGCCACUUUUCCGGCGGCGUGUUCUUUCUUUUCCGUUUGGCAGCAGCAGAGUGAAGUCGAGAGUUCGCAGUGACUAAAUUAAAAUUCGAAAGUACACGCGAGUGAUCUCACUUUAGUGCCGAAGGGAAGGAGUUAAACAAUUUGGCUUUGAGCCGCAUAAAAAGGGCCACCGUUGGAUUGAUGUUCGAAGGCCGCAAAGUAAAAUAAAGGCGAGUUCGAUCGAGACGAACGGGCGCCCGCGCAGUUCACAUAACGAGCGAGCAACCUCCACGCCAGAUAUUCAACUCGGAACAACAGCGCACAAGGAAGGGCGAAACGAAGUGUCUAUUCAUAUUUCCAUCUUUAAUCAUCCCCAUUAUCCGGUGUGUCAGCCCCAAAUUUCAUAAGCCAGAAAAGUGAGCUAGGCGCCGUCUGACCAUCGAGCCGUUUAAUCGAGGCGAACUAAACACAGGUUCGAUCGAACCGAUUUAUCAGUUUCUCUUUGCUCGGAGUGCGCAUGCGACGUCGCGGCUACGGUCUGUGCUUUUAAAAGUAAUUCUCGGGGAGUUAGAAAGACCAUACUUAGGCCAAGAAAAUCCUCGCCGUUUCGGCCAAAUCCCGGUCGGAAGGGUUAUCGGAGUACUCGCCACGGAUAAGCGGGAAGUUUAGGUUUAAAAUUCGGUUUAAGUUAUGUAAUAAGUGUUCGUUCGUCAAAAGUAGAGGAAAAAAUUUGAUUUUAUUUUGUUCGGUGAAAGUGUGGUUUGGGGAUAAAUUCCUAUUCAUAUCCCAGAGAAGGUAGUGCUGAUGCCAUCAGAAGGUCUUCACGGGCUGUACAUUCCGCUUUUUAUUUAAUUCCUGAUUUAAAAAAUAUAUAUGUCUCUGUGAGUGUGUUUCCCUUAUUCAACCUUAUUUAGCCAUCGUCAACGAGGAAAGCGCUUUCGUCGGUGGAUGGACAUAAGUGUG